UGGGCCCUGUACUGAUCAGAGUGUUCAGGAGACGUGUGCACUUAUCAGGCUGCAGCCUAAACCCAGUCGCCACCCUGAGACCCUCAGAGGAGGAGCAACAGUGUCGGGACUCUGAGGCAGAGAGGAGGAUGACUGAGGCUCCUGCGGAGGCUGACACAGAUGCAGACAAGGAAGACACCCCCGGGGACAGUGGGCCAGGCCAUUCCCGUCCUAACAGGGAUUCCAUUCCUGAGGCUGCUUGGAACACCUCCGCCAGGCUUGGCCUCCACCAGGCCCCGCGGGGAGCACCAGGCUUCUCACAGCUGCAGCCCUGGCAGCCUGGAGGCUCAGAGGAGCCCAGGGGCCAAGGGCUGGCAUGAAGAAGCACCCCCGCCCCAGCCUCCCAGCCCCCUCUGCCCAGGCAACUCGACACUGUGGAGAGGGCCCCACUGUCGCUGGGUUGUUAUGCUGAGAAAUGGAACAUUGCUUAACCCCAAGGAGAAACCACAAGAAGAGAAAAACAUGCAAAGUCGCCACAGCUGGGCUGAGCGCUCUGUCUUCGGGCGGGCGGGCCGGGUGGGUCUGUGUUUGUUAAAGACAGAGAGAAGGC
RNAcentral lists this long non-coding RNA (589 nucleotides) under Heterocephalus glaber (naked mole-rat). RNAcentral describes it as "lncRNA (ENSHGLG00000034485.1)". Lineage: Eukaryota; Metazoa; Chordata; Mammalia; Rodentia; Bathyergidae. The record is from RNAcentral.